RNAcentral lists this non-coding RNA (85 nucleotides) under Amphora coffeiformis. Lineage: Eukaryota; Bacillariophyta; Bacillariophyceae; Surirellales; Surirellaceae. The record is from RNAcentral.
AACGAGAAAGAAGAAAAAAAAAAACGAGCUCAUUGCUUCUUCUUCUUCUUCUCUCUCGAUUCAAUUCUUUGUUCUUUUUUCUUCU